UCUGGCGUGGUCUAGUGGCUAGCAUAUCUGGCUUUCACCCAGAAGGCCCAGGUUCGAUUCCCGGCGUCAGAA
RNAcentral lists this transfer RNA (72 nucleotides) under Rhipicephalus microplus (southern cattle tick). RNAcentral describes it as "tRNA-Glu". It matches the Rfam family "tRNA". Rfam says of the family: Transfer RNA (tRNA) molecules are approximately 80 nucleotides in length. Their secondary structure includes four short double-helical elements and three loops (D, anti-codon, and T loops). Lineage: Eukaryota; Metazoa; Arthropoda; Arachnida; Ixodida; Ixodidae. The record is from Rfam by way of RNAcentral.